RNAcentral lists this non-coding RNA (28 nucleotides) under Homo sapiens (human). Lineage: Eukaryota; Metazoa; Chordata; Mammalia; Primates; Hominidae. The record is from RNAcentral.
UGGCGAAUUACAGGAAGAUGGCAGUUUC